RNAcentral lists this ribosomal RNA (254 nucleotides) under uncultured bacterium. RNAcentral describes it as "partial 16S ribosomal RNA". It matches the Rfam family "Bacterial small subunit ribosomal RNA", at positions 524 to 776 of the family's 1533-position model. The record is from RNAcentral.
UACAGGGGGUGCAAACGUUGCUCGGAAUCAUUGGGCGUAAAGAGCUCGUAGGCGGUGUGUCGCGUCGGCCGUGAAAACCUGCAGCUUAACUGUGGGCUUGCGGUCGAUACGGGCAUCACUGGAGUUCGGCAGGGGAGACUGGAAUUCCUGGUGUAGCGGUGAAAUGCGCAGAUAUCAGGAGGAACACCGGUGGCGAAGGCGGGUCUCUGGGCCGAUACUGACGCUGAGGCACGAAGGCCAGGGGAGCAAACGGG